ACAAUGGAUUUUCUUGUCACCUACAGGAAAUGUUCGAUGUUAUAUUGGAUGAGAAUCAGCUUGAGGAUGCUUGUGAACAUCUAGGAGAGUACCUUGAGGCGUACUGGCGAGCCACCCACACGACCAGCAGCACCCCCAUGACCCCGCUACUGGGGAGGAAUUUGGGCUCCACAGCACUCUCACCAUAUCCCACGGCAAUUUCUGGGUUACAGGUAUUGCCCCUUGUACUUUUACUACCUCAUUACUAAGAUUCUAUAGAAAACUUGAUUAAAUUGAAGACUAGGGUUGUCCUUAUCUGAAGAGGAAAACAUAGGGGCACUUUAUAUAAAGAAAAUAUAAACUAUUACCUAAUCAUGUUCCAUCCUACAGCAGGUUACCCAGAAACCCUUUCUAGAGACUUUCUUGCUGGGAAUUUAUAAUGAAUCAAUCCCUGAUCAUUCAGUGUCUACUCAGUGCAGCUGCCCAUGGCUUCUCCGUGGCACUUUUUAAUGAUUAUAGGACCAUGCAAAUCUCAGCUACCAUAGCUAGAUAAAUAAGAUAUUUGGGGACAGAUAGGGCUUUUGAUUGCCCUUAACUUUUUCCACCCCUGAGGUUGCUAGACAUGUCCUUUACUUUGCAAAAGACAGCAUGUGAAUGUGAGUAGAACUACUCGGUUUGGAAAUGGUGACAGGUCUCUGAGUUUUCUUGGAGGGGUCCAGGAGUCCACCUUGUUCGGUGGCUAUGGAAAGUGUCCUUUAGAGAAGCUAGGAAAGAGCACAGGACCAGGAGCUUCUCUCUUCCGCUGUUCUCAUGCUGUACUCAGAAGUAGAUAUAGGGAGCCAGAGGCAUUAUGAUACAAAAUGACUCUUUCCUUUCUACAUUAAUUAUUAUUUACCAUUUAUCAAGCAGCUGCUGGAAUAUGACCAAACCCCCAGCUGACGGAGGAACAUGUAGUCAAUUGAGCCCUCUUUCAUCAUGACUAGUUUUGUUUUAAUGGGUUAUAAUGAUAGUCAUAAUUGUAGAUCAUGUAGAGUUAACUCUGAGAUAAAUGGCACUCUCUGAAAUGCUAUUAUAACUGUAUUACUCUUCUGCAAAAUUUCAUCUCUGUAAGCAGAAAAUCUGCCAUAUAAAUGAAUCACUUUUGAGGCUGGAAAUGAACAUGGAAAUGUAUGAUGGCAAUGUACGGUGUAUCUGUAUGCAUCAGGACUAUUUCCUGCCUCGUUUUCCUUCUUGUGUGCUGAUGAGAAUAGCAUUUCCAUUGGCUCACUUGAGUUGGCUCUGAAUUUUGCAUAAAUUAGUGGGAUGAGGAAUGGAUGUAUGAAACAGUAUGCUUCUCUGGUGUAGGAGGAAGUAGAAUGUUGUACUUUGUUAUGAAUGCAACACUCUUGAAUUGUCAUCCCUAACACACCCACCUAGAGUAGUUUUCCCAGUUUCCUUAAUGAGUUAAUGGGGUGGCUUUUGUCUCAAGGCGUACUUCUCUCAGGAAUAUAGGGUCUAAAUUAUUAGACACCUGGCUGAAGUUGAUGGCACUGUCUAUGACCCACUCAAUGAGUUUGCUUCUGUAUGAAGCUGCAUGUGCUUUGGAGAAGAUGUGACUGGGCCCAUGGUUUCAUCAGAAUCUUGUCCCUUAUCUGAGAUGGCCUACCUAAGCUUGUAUACACACUGAUCCAUGGUUCCCAUAGAGAGAAAAAUAUUUGAAUAACAUUUUAUGAUCCAUCAAAUAAGUGACUUAAGAUGAUACUUUCAAUUAAUGAUAUUAGAGAAAUUUACUUUCUAUCUGAAAAUUAGUUUUGCAGGACAUUUCAAUUGAGGAAGCAAGAUUUAUGAGGCAUCAAUUAGCGGGCUCCAUAAUUACUAUAUACUCCUGUGGAAAGAAUAUUGUUGAGAGUCUAACGUUUAUGUAGGCUUCAGAAACAAAUGCACUAUUUUAUAGAUAGCACAAAUAAUAAUUUCAUUGAGAUGUUUUUUAGGAAAAUUCAGCUAGAUCAAGGUGAAGCAUAUGAUUUUAGAAGAAGAAAGAUUUUAUCAGUUCAAGGGAAAAAUAAAAUAAAUGAUGCUAUUCUGAACUUUAUUUCCCAAUAGUAAAAUAAUCCUCAUUUUUGCAGUAGAAGUACAAUUAUUAGGCCUUUCUAAAUAUGUUAAAUUCUAUUUAACAGUCAACUUUCAAUUCUGUGUUUUCAAUAGGAUGCAUAGUCAUGCAGCACUAUGUAAUUAAAUUCAUAAAUUAUCAGCACUAUGGCAUCUUUACAUGUUGUGUCCUAAAUAAAUAAAACCAGAGAUUUGGGGCAGAUCAUUUGUACAUCAAAAUGUUUUAUCAAGUCAGAUAUCUCUCUUCUCAUUAGACAGAUCCUAUUAUUGUACAUUCAUUUACAUGUUUAGGUGAAUGAAGCUGACAUUAUUUAAUCAGUGAACUAUCUGAUAUUUUAGAGUCAGCGAAUGAGGCACAGCAACCACUCCACAGAGAACUCUCCGAUUGAAAGACGAAGUCUAAUGACCUCUGAUGAAAAUUAUCACAAUGAGAGAGCUCGGAAGAGUAGAAACCGUUUGUCUUCCAGUUCCCAGCACAGCCGAGAUCAUUACCCUCUUGUGGAAGAAGAUUACCCUGACUCAUACCAGGACACUUACAAACCUCACAGGAACCGAGGCUCACCUGGGGGAUACAGCCAUGACUCCCGGCAUAGGCUUUGAGGCUGCCAAAACAACAAAAAAAUAUGUAUUCAUCUGUUGACAAUUUGCCAUAGCACUGCUAGGAUAAACCAAUCAUCUUAACUUGGCAAGCACAGCACAGUAUUGACUGUGCUUAUGGGCUGCUGUCAUUUGAUGCUAAGGGGCAAAAAACAACAACAAAAAAAUGUACAUUAUGCCCUUGAGUCUAGAUGGAUAUUAGAUGCCCAAUCAUAUAGAUAUUUUAAGUGCUACAUUUACAUAACAGUACCUUUUGUUUUCUUCAUAGAUUUAAACACAUCAAUUUGUAAUUUAGGGUACUUAACAAGGCACAUAUAAAAUAAUUUCCCAUGCUGGAAAUUCCAAAUGACCAGUUCCAGUUGGAACCAAUUUAUAAACCAAUUCCUGUUGGAAUUUGGGUGAAUUGACUAGAAAGUCUACUUGAGCAUGUUGCAAUCAAUUGAAAUCUUGGGGAAAAAAACCAAUAAGAAAAUCAAAAUAUCAAUAGAAGCCAAAACUAGCUAUUUAUUUGCUGGAAGCUAAAUUUACACUUAAAAGUUGGAAUGUAUAAACAUUUUAAUAUAUGUUAAUGUUGCCAGAAUGGCUUUUCAAACUUACCAAAUGUAUUGAUAGUGCCAAAAAAAAAAAAAAAAAACCUCAAAUCUUAAUGCAGAAACUAUAUAGUCGCCUCAGAUUUUAAUAUUUUUAUUUCUUUGCUGGCACAGCUGUUGUAUUCAAAGUGUUUUGCUUUCUGUUCAGUCAAUACUGUUAGCUCGUUUGAACUUGGCAAAAAAAAAAAAAAAAUUGGCAGAGAGAAAGAAUAGUAAAGAGAAGCCCGAGCAUAGCUGAUUAUAAGAAAUGGGAAAUGAGAUGUUGUUUCUUUAAUCAGUUUGAGCACAACUACAUACAUCCAGGGAACUGAAGUCACACCAAGAAUGUGGUAUAGAUCCUCCUGAGUACAAAGCUUAACAACUCCAGGUGGGAGAUCAGCUAUCCCACUUAAUACAAACAUGGGGUCAGUUUUUCCUGCUAGCGUAGUUAAGUAUCUUUCUAUUUCAUCACUCCGUUUAUGUCUUUGAAUAUCUAAACAUUCUAGCCCUUCGCCAAAUGUUUUAAAUUAUGCUAAGGAUUUUUUUUUCCAUGACACAUAAAAAUUCGGUAUUGGAAGUUAGCUUUUUACAAAUUGGAAAAGUUAAAACAAAUGAUAAAUUCAAAAGCUUGCAAACGCAUAGAUGCAGAAUAUAUACACUAUAAUUACAACAUUUUUAAUGCAAAGAAUUAUGAAGAAUUUGGAGAUUGAGAUACCUUACUUCUAGUGAGCAUUUUUAAUCACUCAUUAAUUAUUCAGUUUUUACAGUAACUAUAAUUAUAAAAUUGGUGACAAAUGUCUUCUAUUAUCAAGGAAGACUUAGGUUCCCUAUGAUCCAAAAAGUUGUGGAAAUUGACCCUUUUAUACAAGACAAAAUGUCUUUAUAAAAGACUCCUGUUUCUAAAAUUCCAAAAAUGUAUGCAUUUUCUCAAACCUGAUAGGAACCAAGCAUGAAAUCCUUUUCUACUGGUACAUGUUAUAAAGACUAUUUUUGAAAACAAGAAUAAUUAAUUUUAUAUUAUUUUAUUUUUCCCCAAGUUUUUCAAUAUUUAGACUCUCAAAGCAUGCACCAGUUCAAUAAUUUUUCCUGAUCAAGAAAAUAAGUGUCCCAGGGUGCAGUGGCGCAUGGCUAUAAUCCCAGCAACUCUGGAAGCUGAGGCAGGAGGAUAGCAAGUUCAAAGCCAGCCUCAGCAAUUUAGUGAGGUGCUAAGUAACUCAGUGAGACCCUGCCUCUAAAUAAAAUACAAAAUAGGGCUAGGGAUGUGGCUCAGUGGUUGAGUGCCCCUGAGUUCAAUCCCCAGCAACACCCCCCCCACAAGAAAAAAGAAAAGUUUCACAUUCUUGAUUAGUUACCCUCAUCUUGAACCUCAUUGCCGUCUCAUCCUGCAGUCUCCCUUCACGUUCACUGCGUGUGCCCCAUUAUGAACCUGUUUAGUUGAUAAUGAGGAUGCCUAUAAUUCUGUAAGUCAUUCACACAUUUGAUACAAUUAAACAUGGGCUCAGUAAAUUUUAAAAGUUAACGUGACACUGGCUUGUGAAGUUCUUUUGUCAUCUAGCAAAGUUUACAGAACUUUCAGUUAAGACAUUUAAGAGAGCUAUCUCCAUUAGGCUCUUAAAAAUAUAUAUAUAUAUAUAACCUGCCAUUACUAAAUACUUUGUUAGAAUAUAGAAGAGCAUUUUCCAGCAAACAAAAAUAUAUUUAUUACAUGUACAGCACAUAUUUGCAUGAGAAAGAAAACAUUAGCCAAACAUUUUUCUAUAUGCUUUACUGGUUUCUUGUUUGUGUGCUUUAAAGUAUUUAAUUGCAAAGAAUGCACCAAGGUGUAUAAAUUUAGACUAGACAGCUGUUCAGCUUUUUCUGUAGUAGCAUUAGCAAUUUGGUCAUUUAACUACUUUAAGAUAUUUACAUUUUAUGGCAGGUAGCUGUAACAGCGUUUACAUAUAUUUCCUAGUCAACAAGAUCACCAUUUUCUUUCAACUUUUAAAAAGUCACUUAGUUUUAAAGGUCUCUCAAAGCCUUGUUUCUAGACUUCCAUGUCAUGCUGAAAAAGAGGGAGGCCCAUUCAGUAUCCGUGUACAAAUUCAAUCCAUCAUUUACCAUCAGAUGUCCAUACCGUUUUGCUUUGCAUUCUUAUUCAAAAGCUAACAAUCUUGGAAAGGGUAUAAUGUAUAUUUUUCUUAAUGGAUAUAUUUAAAAUUUCACUUUAACUUGACAUUUCAUCUUCCUUCUGUAGUAAGUUUAUUUCCUCCAAAUGAAUAAGAAAUAUGCAUCUUCCUUUUAUUACAAAGUGGUUUGUUUCUGUGUAAAUGAUACUAAAAUCCAGAUAUUGACUAAGUGAAAAGUUUUAUUUUUGUCAAGCACACUAAGCACCUUUGGAAUAGAUGUAUUCCACAAAUACUUUGUUUUUCAUUUAUUUUAUUUAAAGUAGCAAAUCAUCACAAGUAGGAGAAACAAGUCUUAUAAUAUUUGGGGGCUAUUUUAACUUAUAGUAUAAAAUACCUGUUAGAAUUCUGUCACUUCAGUCAGCAGACAUGUAACAAUGAAGACUCAUGGGACAAUGUGGAAAUGUAGUCCUAGACAAAAAAAAAAAAAAGGGAAUGCAAGUUGUCAAUCCUGAUGUUAAUUCUCACGGCUAUAAUGUGACUCUAAUAUUAUAAUCAACAAUAUUAUCUCAUUUACUGCAAUAUUUAAAGCAACACUUAGAAAUGUUUAUAAAUGACUAAUGUUUCUCUCUUAUCUUUAUACAGUUCUAUUGGAAGAAAGGUUGAAAUUCUUAAUAAUUGAGACUAAUGGUCUUUCCUAAUAAGAGAGUCUUAAUGUUGUGACUAUACAAGUCAUUGCAUUUAGUCCUUAAUGAAAUGAAUUUUUAAAAUGUGAAACAAAUUAUGAGACAAUUAUUUGUUCCCUUUAAAUAAUGUCACUUACUCUAAUUAUUAUUGUUGUUUUUUGCAAAAUGUAUUUUUGGAAUGUUAACCUCUUUUCAUACCUGCAUACUUGAACUUGUCUUUUGUGUGGGGGCCUUAAAAUUCAUAAUAUAAAGUGGGGGUAAUGAAAGAGAGUGCGAGAAGAAAAUUAUGGCAAAAGAUAGUUUGCAAAUUUAAAUUCUUUAAAUGAACAUAUCACAAAAUAUUUUUGCAACCCAGGAUGUCAGUUAAGAAUGUUUUUAGGUAACCCUAAUUUGCAUGCUGGCAUAUUUUCUUAAGUUGUACAAUUUUAUUUUGGUAUUUGCUAAAAAACAAAACAUAAUGCCACUGUAGAAUUUGCCCUCUAUAUUGAUAUUUAUAUACUACCUCUUCUCUAGAGAAGACAGUUGGUCUUAAAAGGGAAAUAACUUGUCAAAAACCAGUGAUCAAAUUUCUUACUAUUAUUGCUAACUUUGCUGAAAGCUAACUGCAUAAAGUGUUAAAAUUUGCCUUCCCUUUAGAUUUUAAACUGAUGAUUUUAUCCCAGAUGCUGCAUGUUUCCAUAUGCUCUUGUCACCCUUCAUUUCUUCCAUAUUAGUGAAGUUUUCUUUGAAUUGGUUCACAGAUUAUCCUGAAGUAUGGUUAAUUUGGUUAAUUUAACAAAUGAAUCAUAAUAGGGAACAAAACAAACUGCAAAGUAAUUUAUCUUUGUGUACAACAUGUUAUGAUAUCUAGCUCUAAGUUUAAAAGAGAGUAGUUCCAAAGACUUGAUGUUUAAAUGCAGCUGUUUUGCAAAUUCAAAUUUUUGUCUUUUGAGAACACCAAGAACAUGACUUAACCAAUUACUGGGUAAGGGUAUACAUUAUCUUGGACUCCCAUGUAAUUGGAACAAAUUUCAUAUCAGUGUUUCAAAUAAAUACAUAUGUAUUCCUUAGUCCUUUUAUAUUUCUGCCUUUGUCUCUCAUGACAAUGUUGCAUGCUGGUUUUUUUAAUUAUAUAAAACUCAUCCUUGAAUGACUAUAUGAAUGAAAACUUUAUAGGAAAUUAUGUAAUAAAAUCUGUUUUAUUAGUUCCUUAUAACUUUAAUGUCAUACUGUAACUGUUCCUAAGUUACUUACUUAAGCUGUGUCUAUGCAGCAUAGAACAGUCCUCCUCUUUUCAAUGAUAAUCAUGAUCAAAUCAAUCAAUACAAUAGACAACAAAAACAACUUUUUUCUUUGAAUUAAGCUGUCAAAUUGGUCAAAAUAGUGAAAUUGGUUUAUAGGGGCAGACAGAGCUACAGCAUUAAAAAAAUUACUUUUUAAAGUUUUCUUCUUUUAUUUGAAGGGAUUUUCCAAUGAAAUACAUCCUCUGAUAGCAAUCAUCUCUAACUACUUAUGGAUAAUUUAAUCUCAAAUGCUGCAUGUAAUUUAGCUAUGAGAAGAUUCGAAAGUAUCUCAUCAGAUAUUAUAAUUAAGGGCUGUAACUCCUACAUGAAAAAUGUAUAAAUAUAAGUGAAGAGCACUGAGUUUUGGGGAGUCAUAGUUUCAUAUGACACUUUCUUUUGUUUCUUUUGAUGGAUGUAAAAUGUUUGCAGAAAGAUGGUAGAAAAUGAUACUAAUGGAUUUAAAGUGGUUUGGGGUAUACACUGAUACUUCCUCAAUUGAAAAUGAUAAGGAGUUAAAAUGAGAACUAAGAACCAAAAGUGGCUGGCCUCUAGCUUUUCAAUAUUUUCUAAGUGUUCUUGGUUAUGUUUUGAACACUUAAAAUUUCUCAACCAAUGGCUAUGUCUAUAUUUAUGUAGGGGCCUCUCUUGCCCUACUUGCAUGCCACUUUCACACACUUAACUGAAAUCAGUGUGAAUUCUGUAUGCAUAAGGGAUGUAUUAAAGAUGCAGGAUCAUUAAAGCUAUAUUGUUGCAUACUAUUUUUCAUAUGCCUUACAAUAUUUUCUGGGACGUUAUUAAAAUGAAAGCAUUUUAUUGCCAAAAUAAAUCUAUGUUGUUACUUCUGCAAUAGCAGUAGAAAAAUAAAUAAUGUAGCAAAAAUAUAUAUUGUACAGUACAAAAUUAUAAAAUAUAUAUAUAUAUAUUUUGCCAAUAAUAUGAAAAUAGAUUGAGGAGAAAGAAGCACAUUUGUUAUAGCACAAACUUACAACAAAAUCCACUGUUAAAUUUGGCAGUCCUAUUUUUUAAAAGUAAAUAGAUUUAGUUAUAUGUUUCAUCUACCAUCUUUUUACCUUGCUGCUUGAUACCUUUCCAGCAAUUUAUUUCAUAGCCUUGCAAUCUGUGGUUGUAAUUUAUUUUAUUCCUUUCCAUAAAACUUAUUAAAUUUUAUUUUGUGAUAAGACUCAUACUAUAUUUUCUGUUCUUAUUUCUUCUCCUUCAAUAACAACUACAAAAUGUCACAGCAAGUGAGCUCUCAGCGCUCCUCUGAAUUUUGGACAUGUUUGAAAUUUUUUGUUUUUCACAGCCUCAAAUUAGAAUGAUCAACCAAGAUGUCCCAGUGCAAAAAUUUUAGUUAGGGAUUCCUUAAUUUAUUUUGUACUGGAUACUAGUUUAAAAUAUAAGUUAAAGCCAUUAGCUUUGUUUUGGAAGGGAUGGGGGAGGGAAUAAAAAAUAAAGUUAUUAAUAUAAAACAUUAAAAAAUGAAAAUGGCAAAACAAUACAGAAAGUUUUCCCCUUCUAUUCUGAGGCCUGUUGAAUAUCCCUGACUAUUGCUAUAUCUCCAGUGAUAAAGUGGGGAAAAAAUGCCUUUGUCAAAUAAUUUUUUUCUUUCUUUAAAUUUUAGUUAUUUAUAUUGAUAACUUAACCCCUUUUAUUUUUCUGAUAUAGGUAUGUGUAGCAUUCUACAAGGCAUGCUGGGUAAAAUAUACUAUGCAAAUGUGUACAGUGUUGCAUGUUUUUGUUCUCCCUCUGCUUUAGUGGCUUCAAAGAAAAAAAAUGUGGUGUUAUUUUUGUGAACAAGACAUUUAACAAAGAAAAUGCAGAGUGCAUGCAUACAGUAUCCUAAUUUCUAUGGAUUUGUUUUAUGGAAUUUAAAUGUGUACAAAACAAUUGCAUUAAUUUUUUUCUUUUAUAUAAUAAAUGAAAAAAC
RNAcentral lists this long non-coding RNA (9210 nucleotides) under Marmota monax (woodchuck). Lineage: Eukaryota; Metazoa; Chordata; Mammalia; Rodentia; Sciuridae. The record is from RNAcentral.